GUUUCCGUAGUUAAAUUUGAUAACAACGGCUUUUCAGGCCGUGAAUCUUGGAGAAAAGCCGAGCGGGAAUU
This 71-nucleotide transfer RNA is filed under the name Oedistoma iliolophus (plumed longbill). RNAcentral describes it as "tRNA-Glu". It matches the Rfam family "tRNA". From Rfam's summary of the family: Transfer RNA (tRNA) molecules are approximately 80 nucleotides in length. Their secondary structure includes four short double-helical elements and three loops (D, anti-codon, and T loops). Lineage: Eukaryota; Metazoa; Chordata; Aves; Passeriformes; Melanocharitidae. The record is from RNAcentral.